UAAGGAAAAGUAUAAGGGAAGUACGAAGAAUUUUGAUUUCUUAGGUGUAGGUUCAAUUCCUAUUUCUUUAG
Molecule: transfer RNA, 71 nt
Filed under: Guibemantis liber
Lineage: Eukaryota; Metazoa; Chordata; Amphibia; Anura; Mantellidae
Description: tRNA-Gln
Rfam family: tRNA
About the family: Transfer RNA (tRNA) molecules are approximately 80 nucleotides in length. Their secondary structure includes four short double-helical elements and three loops (D, anti-codon, and T loops). Further hydrogen bonds mediate the characteristic L-shaped molecular structure. tRNAs have two regions of fundamental functional importance: the anti-codon, which is responsible for specific mRNA codon recognition, and the 3' end, to which the tRNAs corresponding amino acid is attached (by aminoacyl-tRNA synthetases). tRNAs cope with the degeneracy of the genetic code in two manners: having more than one tRNA (with a specific anti-codon) for a particular amino acid; and 'wobble' base-pairing, i.e. permitting non-standard base-pairing at the 3rd anti-codon position.
Source: RNAcentral